Molecule: ribosomal RNA, 371 nt
Filed under: uncultured bacterium
Lineage: Bacteria
Description: bacterial SSU rRNA
Rfam family: Bacterial small subunit ribosomal RNA
Source: RNAcentral
GUAGGGUGCGAGCGUUAAUCGGAAUUACUGGGCGUAAAGUGUGCGCAGGUGGCUUCGCAAGUCGAGUGUGAAAUCCCCGGGCUUAACCUGGGAAUUGCGCUCGAAACUACGGAGCUGGAGUGUGGCAGAGGGAGGUGGAAUUCCACGUGUAGCGGUGAAAUGCGUAGAGAUGUGGAGGAACACCAAUGGCGAAGGCAGCCUCCUGGGCCAACACUGACACUCAUGCACGAAAGCGUGGGGAGCAAACAGGAUUAGAUACCCUGGUAGUCCACGCCCUAAACGAUGAUGACUAGUUGUUGGAGGAGUUAAAUCCUUUAGUAACGCAGCUAACGCGCGAAGUCAUCCGCCUGGGGAGUACGGUCGCAAGAUUA